This 77-nucleotide transfer RNA is filed under the name Affinirhizobium rhizoryzae. RNAcentral's name for it is "tRNA-Arg". It matches the Rfam family "tRNA". Rfam says of the family: Transfer RNA (tRNA) molecules are approximately 80 nucleotides in length. Their secondary structure includes four short double-helical elements and three loops (D, anti-codon, and T loops). Lineage: Bacteria; Pseudomonadati; Pseudomonadota; Alphaproteobacteria; Hyphomicrobiales; Rhizobiaceae. The record is from RNAcentral. RNAcentral also lists the same sequence under 6 other names.
GUCCACGUAGCUCAGCAGGAUAGAGCACAGGAUUCCUAAUCCUGGGGUCGGAGGUUCGAAUCCUCUCGUGGACGCCA